UCUAAACUCAUCCAAAUACUUGAGACAAACGUAGUUCAGUGGCUCACAGGCGAAAGAUAAAAGAGAGAGAUAUAUAUGUAUAUAUAUUCCUUACAGCAGAUGAGAAGAAAGGCCCAGCUGCCAUUUCUUUAUAUUUUCCUUACCUCCAGCAAGCUUGACAUAAUAUAUGGUGACCUCCUUUUUCUCUCUCUCUCUCUCUCUCUCUCUCCUUUAGCCAGGUGCAGAAAGAACAAGCGAGAUUAAGCGGCAAAACCCUUGCUAGGGUUCGCUAAAGUUUGGAGUGGUGGGGGAGGGUGGUGAGGAUUGCACCCUAUAAGUGGCUGGUCUUGGACCUUGGCCAUUUGUUUACCUUUUAGGAAGGGAAUACUCCACCGAGGUCUACAAGUUUCUAUCACCUCACUUCCUGACCACCCCCAAACCUUUCACCUCUAUCUGCUUCUCUUUCUUUCUGAUCUCCAGAAAUUUGGCGAUGAAGGGUCUUGGAGAAGAACUUUAUGGGCUUCUUUUUCUCUGUGACCGACUGCCUCGGAGAAAAAGGAAGAGGAAUUGACUCCAUAUACUAACUCAUCUGUGAGAGUUGUAUCCGUUCGCUGUCUUCCGAGAGAGGAAGGAUGAUGUGAAGGAACGCAGGUGACAAGGGUUGUGCCUGGCUCCCUGUACGCCACACAUGUAGAUCGAUAUCUAUGGGGAGAUUGGCUACUGUGGGUGGCGUGCAAGGAGCCAAGCACGCCUUCUCUCUCUCUCUCUCUCUCUCGUGAUCUUUGUGUAGCAGAUCAUCGUAGGAAUUCUCUCUUGCAUGAUCGCUUUUGAUUUCCUUUGCAGCGAUAUCUUGAAGGAAUUAUAUAUGAUCAAAACAACUGCUAGUAUUCAUUGAACUUUGAAAAUGAGGAUUAAGAUUGCUGUCGGAUUGCCUGCUUUGAUUGUUUCUUAUGCAUAUUCCUAUGGUUGUAUGGUUUGAAGUAUUACACUAGUUCAAAUGCUUCAUCGAUCGAUUGGCUACUAUAAAUCCCACUAAUAAGCGUAGAUGAUUUCAUGGAACACCAUACUUGAAUCGACCAUGAGGGUAAAGCUUCUGUGAUUCUCAUUCUCCUCCUUCUCGUUAUUAAUUAAUUUAUAGUAAAUGGAACCGAUUGGUUUUGGUUGAGACCUCCAAAGAAUGCUUCCUACAAUUCUUCCCCCUUUUCCCUUUAUUUUACACCUGUUUUUGUUCGAAAUGAAUUCGACGGGAAAUCUAAUUCUCCUCUCCGAUGGAUAUAUGUGCUCAGAUGUGUCAGUUCUUUGAAUCACUUGAUGUGAUUUAUGAUGGCAUCUCUCUCGUAAUCGAUCAGGAAGGAUUAUUUAAACAUCCUCAACUUCUACAAACCAUAUCGUUUCUUGUCCUCCUCCUCAUCAUCAUCAUCAUCAUCUAACUCAUGUUAGUCUUCUCCAUUUCAAUUCUAUGAGCUUUUAUUCCCAAGAGGACAUCGAUCCGUAUGCUUCACUCAAAAUACUGACGUGGUUGCCUCCUUCCAAGCUUAUGUCUUCACUCGAAUACUAAUUUGCUGCUCUCAGUAUCUUUCAUAUCUUGAAAUGGAUCCGCUGACAAAUUUGAUCUAAGCUAAAGGCAGUACGUAGAAUUUAUGUAUGCGUAUGUAUAUCCAUUUCUGCUAGGUAUUUUAACAUGGAGGCUUUACUCUCUCUCUCUCUCUCUCUCUCUCUCUCACACACACACACACACACACACACAAACACAUUAAUCCCUAUUUCUUUGUUUCUUACGGCAUGUGACAGACCAGCAAUCAGUUCUCUCUCUGUCUCUCAGAGACACACACAAACACAGAUUAGUCCCUAGUUCUUUGUUCUUGCAGCAUGUCACAGAGACUCGUGAUCGGUUGAUCUCUCUCUCUUUUCUCUAAAGUUUCUGCAUUAUGGCAAAUGUGUACGGUGCUGCAAUUCUUCUUAAUGUAUCAUUGUUCCAUUCUCAGUUUGAUUUGACUACAAUCUCUCUCUCUCUCUCUCUUUCUCUCUUUGGAUCAAUUAAACCGAGCCAUGGGAGGGAGCUCGAGCAUUAAUUCCAAUGCCAAACACACCCUCUCCUCCAUCAAUCAAGUCACCGGUCAGGUAUAUACUUCCCACUUCGAGCAGUCCCCUAAAGCUUGAAGAUUCUCCAUGGACCGGGCAGAAGCCCCAAGUGUCGUGGCACAGUGAGAGGGUGUCAGCUUUCCAUCCUUCCGAGGAACCGAGCACUUUGGUUGUCCUCCGAAAAGGAAUUUUCAACAGCAGUGAAAGCAGCCCAUUGGCACACAUUCUCCGGAACCAAUGCAGGCAGCAGCUUUACCUUCUUCCCUGUCCCCAAUGCAUUUCUUCUUUAUACAUGUACCUCAUGCUGCUGCUGCUUCUGCUUUUGUACUAUCAAAUAGCAAGGCGGUCGUUCCUCAUCUUUUCCGCCCCGCCUUAAUCGUUCUUCUCAUUCGGUUGUUUCCUGUGAUUGCCAAACUGCACCCUUGCUGAUACUAAUAACAUCAAGAUGAUUUACUGCACGAGACUUUUACUGUCACACAGUAUCCGAGGAUGACGAGUAUAUAUUGUUUUGUGUCAACAACAUGAACUAAUCGAUCUUACUGUAACACUAAUGUUUUAUCUCCUCAAGUCUCCUGACUCAUACAUAUAUUGGGGAGUAUAUAUAUAUAUAUAUAUAUAUAUAUACAUGUGAGCUAUAAAGCAGUUUACUGGGAUAAAAAUAUCGGCCACAGCAUAGAGUUACAACAAGACAUGGUUCAGCUUAAACAUAGGUAUCUAUCUAUCUCUCGAGUAGAAGAAUGUUGUAGUUUCAUGGCUAUGGAUAAGUUGGUACUUUAUAAUAAUAUUCUCUUAUUAUUCUCCUUGUUUUAAGGUGACUCUUUUCAUUGUUUACAUAUUCUAGUUAACUGGCUCUGCAAAUUAUGGGUCUGAUUGAGUUGGUUUCUCUCUUGCUUUCGGAGGAGGAUUUGACUCCAAUUUCAAUUUUUUGUGGAGAUGAUGCCAAGGAUUCGACCCAAGUGUGAUUCCUUUUUUUUUUUUUUUUUUUUUUAUGUGAGGGAUUAACUUCCUCCACAAGUCCUUGGAAAAGAAGAAGAAGAAGAAGAAGAAGAAGAAGAAGAAGAAGAAGAAGAACAGGGUGAGUGAAGGGCACUAGUUAAAUAGUGGAGUUGUGGCACCGAGACACCGAGCAAGACAAAGUUAUGCUUUCAAAGUGACGACCACCGCAAAUCGAAGAUAUCGGAGGGAUGGAUCAAAACAGGGAGCAGCUUGGACAACAAAAAAAAGACAAAAUGAGCUUGGUCUUAGGCCUACUUGAAACAUGGACCGACGGACCUACUUAUGUUGGAAGAAGAAGAAGAAGAAGAAGAAGAAGAAGAAGAAGAAGAAGAAGAAGAAGAAGAAGAAGAGAAACACACACACACACACAAAAAAAGAAGGGAGCUUUUUAAAAGAUAGAUAAUCUCUCUCACAUGGAUUACUAAAAAGCAUCUUGAUGAUGUUCUUUAAUUUUAACUCAUUCAUAUUAUAUUUAUUAACCUUUUAUAAUAUAUAUUUUUCUUUC
Musa acuminata AAA Group (dessert banana) is the source of this 3562-nucleotide long non-coding RNA. RefSeq lists it as uncharacterized. NCBI's taxonomy places the organism in Eukaryota, Viridiplantae, Streptophyta, Magnoliopsida, Zingiberales, Musaceae. The record is from RefSeq and is a predicted model, not a curated record. The transcript has 2 exons.